This 468-nucleotide ribosomal RNA is filed under the name uncultured bacterium. Its description in RNAcentral is "partial 16S ribosomal RNA". It matches the Rfam family "Bacterial small subunit ribosomal RNA", at positions 28 to 507 of the family's 1533-position model. The record is from RNAcentral.
GACGAACGCUGGCGGCGUGCUUAACACAUGCAAGUCGAACGGAAAGGCCCUGCUUUUGUGGGGUGCUCGAGUGGCGAACGGGUGAGUAACACGUGAGUAACCUGCCCUUGACUUUGGGAUAACUUCAGGAAACUGGGGCUAAUACCGGAUAGGAGCUCCUGCUGCAUGGUGGGGGUUGGAAAGUUUCGGCGGUGGUGGAUGGACUCGCGGCUUAUCAGCUGGUUGGUGGGGUAGUGGCUUACCAAGGCUUUGACGGGUAGCCGGCCUGAGAGGCUGACCGGCCACAUUGGGACUGAGAUACGGCCCAGACUCCUACGGGAGGCAGCAGUGGGGAAUAUUGCACAAUGGGCGGAAGCCUGAUGCAGCAACGCCGCGUGCGGGAUGACGGCCUUCGGGUUGUAAACCGCUUUCGCCUGUGACGAAGCGUGAGUGACGGUAAUGGGUAAAGAAGCACCGGCUAACUACGUG